UACGGGGGGGGUAAGCGUUGUUCGGAAUUACUGGGCGUAAAGGGCUCGUAGGCGGCUAACUAAGUCAUACGUGAAAUCCCUCAGCUUAACUGGGGAACUGCGUGUGAUACUGGAUGGCUUGGAUUUGGGAGAGGGAUGCGGAAUUCCAGGUGUAGCGGUGAAAUGCGUAGAUAUCGGGAGGAACACCUAUGGCGAAGGCAGCUCGCUGGGACGUUACUGACGCUGAGACGCGAAAGCGUGGGGAGCAAACAGG
This 253-nucleotide ribosomal RNA is filed under the name uncultured bacterium. Its description in RNAcentral is "partial 16S ribosomal RNA". It matches the Rfam family "Bacterial small subunit ribosomal RNA", at positions 524 to 776 of the family's 1533-position model. The record is from RNAcentral.